Molecule: ribosomal RNA, 804 nt
Filed under: Calonectria californiensis
Lineage: Eukaryota; Fungi; Ascomycota; Sordariomycetes; Hypocreales; Nectriaceae
Description: partial large subunit ribosomal RNA
Rfam family: Eukaryotic large subunit ribosomal RNA
Source: RNAcentral
GCCCUAGUAACGGCGAGUGAAGCGGCAACAGCUCAAAUUUGAAAUCUGGCCCUCGGGUCCGAGUUGUAAUUUGUAGAGGAUGCUUUUGGUGAGGUACCUUCCGAGUUCCCUGGAACGGGACGCCAUAGAGGGUGAGAGCCCCGUCUGGUUGGAUACCGAUCCUCUGUAAAGCUCCUUCGACGAGUCGAGUAGUUUGGGAAUGCUGCUCUAAAUGGGAGGUAUAUGUCUUCUAAAGCUAAAUAUUGGCCAGAGACCGAUAGCGCACAAGUAGAGUGAUCGAAAGAUGAAAAGCACUUUGAAAAGAGAGUUAAAAAGUACGUGAAAUUGUUGAAAGGGAAGCGCUUAUGACCAGACUUGGACUUGGUUGAUCAUCCUGGGUUCUCCCUGGUGCACUCUUCCAGUUCAGGCCAGCAUCAGUUCGCUGCGGGGGAUAAAAGUUUUGGGAAUGUGGCUCCCUCGGGAGUGUUAUAGCCCAUUGCAUAAUACCCUGCUCCGGACUGAGGUUCGCGCAUCUGCAAGGAUGCUGGCGUAAUGGUCAUCAGCGACCCGUCUUGAAACACGGACCAAGGAGUCGUCUUCGUAUGCGAGUGUUCGGGUGUUAAACCCCUACGCGUAAUGAAAGUGAACGCAGGUGAGAGCUUCGGCGCAUCAUCGACCGAUCCUGAUGUUCUCGGAUGGAUUUGAGUAAGAGCAUACGGGGCCGGACCCGAAAGAAGGUGAACUAUGCCUGUAUAGGGUGAAGCCAGAGGAAACUCUGGUGGAGGCUCGCAGCGGUUCUGACGUGCAAAUCGAUCGUCAAAUAUG